AUUGAACGCUGGCGGCAUGCCUUACACAUGCAAGUCGAACGGCAGCACGGGAGCAAUCCUGGUGGCGAGUGGCGAACGGGUGAGUAAUAUAUCGGAACGUGCCCAGUCGUGGGGGGAUAACGUAGCGAAAGCUACGCUAAUACCGCAUACGAUCUACGGAUGAAAGCGGGGGAUCGCAAGACCUCGCGCGAUUGGAGCGGCCGAUAUCAGAUUAGGUAGUUGGUGAGGUAAAGGCUCACCAAGCCGACGAUCUGUAGCUGGUCUGAGAGGACGACCAGCCACACUGGGACUGAGACACGGCCCAGACUCCUACGGGAGGCAGCAGUGGGGAAUUUUGGACAAUGGGCGCAAGCCUGAUCCAGCAAUGCCGCGUGCAGGAUGAAGGCCUUCGGGUUGUAAACUGCUUUUGUACGGAACGAAACGGUGAGCUCUAAUACAGUUUGCUAAUGACGGUACCGUAAGAAUAAGCACCGGCUAACUACGUG
Molecule: ribosomal RNA, 485 nt
Filed under: uncultured bacterium
Lineage: Bacteria
Description: bacterial SSU rRNA
Rfam family: Bacterial small subunit ribosomal RNA
Source: RNAcentral